RNAcentral lists this ribosomal RNA (871 nucleotides) under uncultured Nitrospirota bacterium. RNAcentral describes it as "bacterial SSU rRNA". It matches the Rfam family "Bacterial small subunit ribosomal RNA", at positions 56 to 918 of the family's 1533-position model. Lineage: Bacteria; Pseudomonadati; Nitrospirota. The record is from RNAcentral.
UGCAGUCGAGCGAGAAGGCGUAGCAAUACGUUUGUAAAGCGGCGAACGGGUGAGGAAUACAUGGGUAACCUACCCUCGAGUGGGGAAUAACUAGCCGAAAGGUUAGCUAAUACCGCGUACGCUCUUUGGACUUCGGUUCAGGGAGGAAAGCGAUACCGUGGGUAUCGCGCUCUUGGAUGGGCUCAUGUCCUAUCAGCUUGUUGGUGAGGUAACGGCUCACCAAGGCUUCGGCGGGUAGCUGGUCUGAGAGGACGAUCAGCCACACUGGCACUGCGACACGGGCCAGACUCCUACGGGAGGCAGCAGUAAGGAAUAUUGCGCAAUGGGCGAAAGCCUGACGCAGCGACGCCGCGUGGGGGAUGAAGGUCUUCGGAUUGUAAACCCCUUUCGGGAGGGAAGCUGGAAUGGGGUAACCCAUUUGGACGGUACCUCCAGAAGCAGCCACGGCUAACUUCGUGCCAGCAGCCGCGGUAAUACGAAGGUGGCAAGCGUUGUUCGGAUUUACUGGGCGUACAGGGAGCGUAGGCGGUUCGGUAAGCCCUUUGUGAAAUCUCCAGGCUUAACCUGGAAAAGUCGGAGGGGACUGCCGGGCUAGAGGACGGGAGAGGAGCGCGGAAUUCCCGGUGUAGCGGUGAAAUGCGUAGAGAUCGGGAGGAAGGCCGGUGGCGAAGGCGGCGCUCUGGAACGUUUCUGACGCUGAGGCUCGAAAGCGUGGGGAUCAAACAGGAUUAGAUACCCUGGUAGUCCACGCUGUAAACGAUGGGGACUAGGUGUGGGGGGGUAUUGACCCCUCCCGUGCCGACGCUAACGCAUUAAGUCCCCCGCCUGGGGAUUACGGCCGCAAGGUUGAAACUCAAAUGAAUUGACGGGG